Salvelinus sp. IW2-2015 is the source of this 305-nucleotide long non-coding RNA. RefSeq lists it as uncharacterized. NCBI's taxonomy places the organism in Eukaryota, Metazoa, Chordata, Actinopteri, Salmoniformes, Salmonidae. The record is from RefSeq and is a predicted model, not a curated record.
CGCAGCUGGACGGGUCCUAACUUCUCGCUGGCGACCUGGACAGCUCCUCCUACUACAGCAUACGCCUGGGGCAAUGAGGCGACCCUUACCCAGCACCUCCUCCAGCAGCUCGGCCAAGAGGAUCAAGUGUAUGGAGGACGAGGUGGACAGUCCAGGAGAAGAGUCCUACUACCCAGCGCAGGGCGCUCCCCGGGCAGCGGCAGCCAGGCCAGCAGCUGGCACGAAGUGGAAACAGCUGGAUAUAAACUGCGUGGCUCGCUAGCUAGUUCGUUCAUCUCAAGACAAGGUAAAGAUGCAUUACUCUU